RNAcentral lists this small nucleolar RNA (96 nucleotides) under Cephalotus follicularis. RNAcentral describes it as "Small nucleolar RNA Z266". It matches the Rfam family "Small nucleolar RNA Z266". From Rfam's summary of the family: Z266 is a member of the C/D class of snoRNA which contain the C (UGAUGA) and D (CUGA) box motifs. Lineage: Eukaryota; Viridiplantae; Streptophyta; Magnoliopsida; Oxalidales; Cephalotaceae. The record is from Rfam by way of RNAcentral.
GGAUGACAAGAAUUAUGAAUCAAUUAGAUGAGUGAAUGAAUUUAUUCAUUGUAAACUCUAACUUUGAGGCAUAUUAUUUUCUUUGACUUAACUUUA